GAUGAACGCUAGCGGGAGGCUUAACACAUGCAAGUCGAGGGGCAGCAUAGGGUAGCAAUACUCUGAUGGCGACCGGCAAACGGGUGAGUAACGCGUAUGCAACCUACCCUGUACAGGGGGAUAACCCGGAGAAAUUCGGACUAAUAUCCCGUAAUAAUAUCCGGAGGCAUCUUUGGAUAUUUAAAGUUCCGACGGUACGGGAUGGGCAUGCGUAACAUUAACUGGUUGGUAAGGUAACGGCUUACCAAGGCUAUGAUGUUUAGGGGUCCUGAGAGGGUGGUCCCCCACACUGGUACUGAGACACGGACCAGACUCCUACGGGAGGCAGCAGUGAGGAAUAUUGGUCAAUGGGCGCAAGCCUGAACCAGCCAUCCCGCGUGCAGGAAGACGGCCUAUGGGUUGUAAACUGCUUUUCCAGGGAGAGAAACUUACGCACGUGUUGCGUGACUGACGGUACCCUGGGAAUAAGCAUCGGCUAACUCCGUG
Molecule: ribosomal RNA, 486 nt
Filed under: uncultured bacterium
Lineage: Bacteria
Description: bacterial SSU rRNA
Rfam family: Bacterial small subunit ribosomal RNA
Source: RNAcentral